UAAGGAAUAUUGGUCAAUGGACGCAAGUCUGAACCAGCCAUGCCGCGUGCAGUUAAGACGGCCCUACGGGUUGUAAACUGCUUUUGCAGGGGAAUAAACCUUCGUAUGUAUACGAAGCUGAAUGUACUCUGAGAAUAAGGAUCGGCUAACUCCGUG
Molecule: ribosomal RNA, 156 nt
Filed under: uncultured bacterium
Lineage: Bacteria
Description: partial 16S ribosomal RNA
Rfam family: Bacterial small subunit ribosomal RNA
Source: RNAcentral